GUCCAAUCUCCUUCAAAAUCUCUUUUGGUAGAUGAUCUUCCAAUUUCUUUACCAUCCAUUCUUCCACCCCUUGGCUUUUCUUCCCCGAAAAUAGCUCUUUGAUCUUGUUGAAUGACUUGAGUUGGUUGGUUUGAGAACCAACAAAGUGCAAAGUUGCCUGGAUCACUUUCUUCGCAAACUCUGAUUGUUUCUGGGGGCUAAAUCUUUCAUCCGGAGGGAUGCAGGUAGACAUAUUGAACAUCACCUCCUUCACAUUUUCUGUUUGAAGAGUAAUAAGGUUCGUAUGAUUUCUG
RNAcentral lists this unclassified non-coding RNA (293 nucleotides) under Hevea brasiliensis (rubber tree). Lineage: Eukaryota; Viridiplantae; Streptophyta; Magnoliopsida; Malpighiales; Euphorbiaceae. The record is from RNAcentral.